AAGUGUCAUUACGAGUUGCGGUUUAAUUACGCCGCACGCCAACCUGCCUACCCGGGUAAGGUGGUGGCUCUCAGAGCAUUGAGAGAAUGAGGUCUCCUCGAGCGGAGGCAAUAGAGCGGGAAAGA
This 125-nucleotide non-coding RNA is filed under the name Sutterella sp. RNAcentral's name for it is "SAM-I-IV sequence". It matches the Rfam family "SAM-I/IV (S-adenosyl methionine) riboswitch aptamer". Rfam says of the family: It is found upstream of a number of genes which code for proteins involved in methionine or cysteine biosynthesis. Lineage: Bacteria; Pseudomonadati; Pseudomonadota; Betaproteobacteria; Burkholderiales; Sutterellaceae. The record is from RNAcentral.